RNAcentral lists this ribosomal RNA (183 nucleotides) under uncultured bacterium. RNAcentral describes it as "partial 16S ribosomal RNA". It matches the Rfam family "Bacterial small subunit ribosomal RNA", at positions 1319 to 1500 of the family's 1533-position model. The record is from RNAcentral.
CAUGAAGCUGGAAUCGCUAGUAAUCGCAGGUCAGCAUACUGCGGUGAAUACGUUCCCGGGGUCUUGUACACACCGCCCGUCACACCAUGGGAGCCGGAAAUGCCCGAAGCCAGUGACCCAACCUUAGGGAGGGAGCUGUCGAAGGUGGAGCCGGUAACUGGGGUGAAGUCGUAACAAGGUACC